Molecule: unclassified non-coding RNA, 392 nt
Filed under: soil metagenome
Description: partial contains 5.8S ribosomal RNA, internal transcribed spacer 2, and large subunit ribosomal RNA
Rfam family: 5.8S ribosomal RNA (bases 1-122)
Source: RNAcentral
GAUGAAGAACGUAGCAAAAUGCGAUACUUGGUGUGAAUUGCAGAAUCCCGUGAACCAUCGAGUUUUUGAACGCAAGUUGCGCCCGAAGCCAUUAGGCCGAGGGCACGCCUGCCUGGGCGUCACACGUCGUUGCCCCCCCCAUCUACUCCUUCGGGAUUGCGGGGGGCGGAUGAUGGCCUCCCGUGCGCCUCGCCGCGCGGUUGGCAUAAAUGCCAAGUCCUCGGCGAUGCACGCCACGACAAUCGGUGGUUGCGAAACCUCGGUUGCCCGUCGUGUGCGGUCGUCGCGCAUCGAGGGCUCGAAAAAAUUGCCGGGUUCCGGCUCGGCUUUCAACGCGACCCCAGGUCAGGCGGGGUUACCCGCUGAAUUUAAGCAUAUCAAUAAGCGGAGGA